This is a long non-coding RNA of Antechinus flavipes (yellow-footed antechinus), 608 nucleotides long. RefSeq lists it as uncharacterized. The record is from RefSeq and is a predicted model, not a curated record. NCBI's taxonomy places the organism in Eukaryota, Metazoa, Chordata, Mammalia, Dasyuromorphia, Dasyuridae. The transcript is spliced from 2 exons.
GCGGGACGGGAGCAGCCUCGGAGGCGGGGAUUGGCCUGGAGGUGUGGCAAGAGCGCGGGACAAGAGGCGAAGAUUGGGUUGAGGAAUGAGUGAGGUGUAAAAAACUUUUUAUCAUCAUCUCGUUGGACACUCCCAACCUUCCUAAGUAGUUGGUAGAGCUGGCUGGUCUUAGAAGGAACCUGAUCCACGGCUUAUCAAUGUCACCGUCCACCCAAGUUUUUCCUGAUUCCAAAAAAUUCUUUAAUGGACGAAAAUAUGCUUUCAGAUCAUGAUCAGAGGGUUUCUGCUGGAGGUCACCUCCUCAAAGCACAUCCAAAAAAGGGAGAGUUCCUAUCCUUCCUCCAUCCCCCAAUUCACAAGAACAUCCAGGAAAUAACCUGACAAUUUUAUUUACACUGAUGUGUGGGUGUCUGGCUGGAUAGUCUAGCUGCGUACUGGGAAGCGGGAUUGCUAGAGGGAAGAAGGAAGGGGUGAUUUUUGGAGUUCGCUGAGAUCAUGCCAGAUGGUAAAGAGCUCUGGAUUGGGAGCCACGACACCUGGUCCCCUACUAGAGUGACCUCGAGCAGAGAUGCCUCGUGUAGAAUAAAGGCCCUGGAAUUUAAAACCCC